RNAcentral lists this unclassified non-coding RNA (495 nucleotides) under Melitaea cinxia (Glanville fritillary). RNAcentral describes it as "misc RNA ENSMCXG00005007829.1". The record is from RNAcentral. Lineage: Eukaryota; Metazoa; Arthropoda; Insecta; Lepidoptera; Nymphalidae.
AAUACAUUAAUUUGACAACGCUUAAACAGUCAACAGUGUGUUGCGAUAUAUAAAUAAAAUAUUCAAAUAAACAAUGAAUUUCGCAAAGUUUUUCGUUUUUGUUCUCUUGAGUGUAAUGGCCGUUUUAUCAGUGAACGCCAAUCCAGCUCCGAAAUUUAGACCGUUUAAAAAACUGGAGAAACUUGGUCGACGCAUUCGAGAUGGUCUCAUCAAGGCGGGUCCAGCUGUCGAAGUUCUAGGACAAGCAAGCACUGUGAUUAAAGGAUAACCUAUUAAAGAAUAAAUAAUAUGAAGGCCUACCAAAAUUAUUUUUAAAAUUAUGCAUUAAGACUCAAUGUUAAGUUAUUUAAUUAGUAAUUAAUAAAUUAUUAUUAUUGAUUUAAAUCGGUUUUUUUUUGCUUUUUUACCUUAUUUAUAAUUAAACCUAUAGACCUACUUAUAUAUAACAUAUCUAGAAAUUUAAAAGACCCUUUGUCUUUUUAACAAUAUAGGAAG